UACGAAGGGGGCUAGCGUUGCUCGGAAUUACUGGGCGUAAAGCGCGCGUAGGCGGGCCGUUAAGUCGGGGGUGAAAGCCUGGGGCUCAACCUCAGAAUUGGCUGCGAUACUGGCGGCCUGGAGCAUGAUAGAGGCGAGUGGAAUUCCGAGUGUAGAGGUGAAAUUCGUAGAUAUUCGGAGGAACACCAGUGGCGAAGGCGACUCGCUGGAUCAUUGCUGACGAUGAGGCGCGAAAGCGUGGGUAGCAAACAGG
Molecule: ribosomal RNA, 253 nt
Filed under: uncultured bacterium
Lineage: Bacteria
Description: partial 16S ribosomal RNA
Rfam family: Bacterial small subunit ribosomal RNA
Source: RNAcentral